This 1372-nucleotide ribosomal RNA is filed under the name uncultured bacterium. RNAcentral's name for it is "bacterial SSU rRNA". It matches the Rfam family "Bacterial small subunit ribosomal RNA", at positions 28 to 1381 of the family's 1533-position model. The record is from RNAcentral.
GAUGAACGCUGGCGGCGUGCCUAAUACAUGCAAGUCGAGCGAACGGACGAGAAGCUUGCUUUUCUGAUGUUAGCGGCGGACGGGUGAGUAACACGUGGAUAACCUACCUAUAAGACUGGGAUAACUUCGGGAAACCGGAGCUAAUACCGGAUAAUAUUUUGAACCGCAUGGUUCAAAAGUGAAAGACGGUCUUGCUGUCACUUAUAGAUGGAUCCGCGCUGCAUUAGCUAGUUGGUAAGGUAACGGCUUACCAAGGCAACGAUGCAUAGCCGACCUGAGAGGGUGAUCGGCCACACUGGAACUGAGACACGGUCCAGACUCCUACGGGAGGCAGCAGUAGGGAAUCUUCCACAAUGGGCGAAAGCCUGACGGAGCAACGCCGCGUGAGUGAUGAAGGUCUUCGGAUCGUAAAACUCUGUUAUUAGGGAAGAACAUAUGUGUAAGUAACUGUGCACAUCUUGACGGUACCUAAUCAGAAAGCCACGGCUAACUACGUGCCAGCAGCCGCGGUAAUACGUAGGUGGCAAGCGUUAUCCGGAAUUAUUGGGCGUAAAGCGCGCGUAGGCGGUUUUUUAAGUCUGAUGUGAAAGCCCACGGCUCAACCGUGGAGGGUCAUUGGAAACUGGAAAACUUGAGUGCAGAAGAGGAAAGUGGAAUUCCAUGUGUAGCGGUGAAAUGCGCAGAGAUGUGGAGGAACACCAGUGGCGAAGGCGACUUUCUGGUCUGUAACUGACGCUGAUGUGCGAAAGCGUGGGGAUCAAACAGGAUUAGAUACCCUGGUAGUCCACGCCGUAAACGAUGAGUGCUAAGUGUUAGGGGGUUUCCGCCCCUUAGUGCUGCAGCUAACGCAUUAAGCACUCCGCCUGGGGAGUACGACCGCAAGGUUGAAACUCAAAGGAAUUGACGGGGGCCCGCACAAGCGGUGGAGCAUGUGGUUUAAUUCGAAGCAACGCGAAGAACCUUACCAAAUCUUGACAUCCUUUGACAACUCUAGAGAUAGAGCCUUCCCCUUCGGGGGACAAAGUGACAGGUGGUGCAUGGUUGUCGUCAGCUCGUGUCGUGAGAUGUUGGGUUAAGUCCCGCAACGAGCGCAACCCUUAAGCUUAGUUGCCAUCAUUAAGUUGGGCACUCUAAGUUGACUGCCGGUGACAAACCGGAGGAAGGUGGGGAUGACGUCAAAUCAUCAUGCCCCUUAUGAUUUGGGCUACACACGUGCUACAAUGGACAAUACAAAGGGCAGCGAAACCGCGAGGUCAAGCAAAUCCCAUAAAGUUGUUCUCAGUUCGGAUUGUAGUCUGCAACUCGACUACAUGAAGCUGGAAUCGCUAGUAAUCGUAGAUCAGCAUGCUACGGUGAAUACGUUCCCGGGUCU